CUCCUUGUAUGAAAAAUCGUUAAAACUUCGUGUUUUAAUAACUCGUAUACAUAGAUUUCAACCUUGUUUGCCAAAACUUUACUGGCAAUAGGCAUGUUUCACAUGGCGGUAACCAAAAUUCUGUUGUUUGCCUCUACUAUUCUUCUUCAUGUUGACUGUUUUGUAAGGGUGGAUAACUAUCAGAAUUCCGUAUACAUACAAAAGAGAUCGUAUGAUCCCUUUACACCAGCAUCAAGUAUUUAUAAACCUUCCUGGAACCAGUGAUCUACGAUUAUAUGUCUGUCGAUACUGAAACUGCGGUAGAUGGUGUCGGGCAGAGAGGACAUUUAGUACAAUUCUACAAGUACAUGUAUCGGAAAGACUAUGUACCACUGUUCCCAAUACCAAGUCUUAGAUACUACUUCACAAACGAACAGUACUACCAGAAUGUAUCGAAAAUCUUAAUGGAACAGAUGACAAACAACCCUGUCAUUCGUGUGAGGACGUAAACCAUUGGACAAUCACAUAUUCUUUAAGUUCAAGUCAAAUAUGACAUUUAAUUAUUUUUUUCUCUUACAUCAUCUGUCAUGUAUUUAUACUGUAAUCGAAUACUUGAUGCUUCCAAUAAAGGUUACUUAUUAAUUAAUAAA
Mytilus californianus (California mussel) is the source of this 629-nucleotide long non-coding RNA. RefSeq lists it as uncharacterized. The record is from RefSeq and is a predicted model, not a curated record. NCBI's taxonomy places the organism in Eukaryota, Metazoa, Mollusca, Bivalvia, Mytilida, Mytilidae. The transcript is spliced from 4 exons.